Long non-coding RNA from Homo sapiens (human), 3772 nucleotides. Ensembl annotates it as Gfo/Idh/MocA-like oxidoreductase domain containing 3, pseudogene. Its record names the gene GFOD3P. NCBI's taxonomy places the organism in Eukaryota, Metazoa, Chordata, Mammalia, Primates, Hominidae. The record is from Ensembl.
CCCUCGGUCGGGGGUCGAGGCUGCUUCCGUUUCCAUCCCGGACCCGACAAUGGGCGGGAAAAAGAAGGCUUUACACGACUACGCGGCGGAGUUCACCGACCUGGUGGUGAAGCACCUGAUUGAGCACAGUGACUCUGGGGACACGUCUGUGGUGGAGACCCUUUACUGCAGGGCCUGCGAGCUGCCCGUGCGCGUGCGGAGGGACCGCAUCCUGGAACACCUGUCCUCGGGCAGGCAGCACGGCCUGCGGACGCCCAUUCUCAUGUAAAUGUCAGUGCCAACGCUGGUGUUUCAGGAGUCAUCCCAGCGGGCUGCGGGCUAUUUUAGGAUUCUCUGCCCUGCAAACGUUUCCAAAGUACGUGGACAGGCCGCCUGAUGACACUACGUUUACGGGAUCUGCUAGUGGCUUGCCUACUUAGGGAGUAAACCCUGUGAAGUCUCGCAGUUUUGUUAAAGUGUGCGUGGCCACCUGAAUGCUGCCUUAUCACAAGCCAGAUACAUACUGGUCUGUAGGGUAACUCCCCACUGUUGAUCCUCUGAGAUGAUUGUGGACUGGGUGCUGUGAGUCCUGCCACUUUGUUUAAGUGAAUGUGUCUUUUGUCCAGCUCAGCCGCCUCGGAUCUCGCUGCCACCAGCCUUACUGCACACCCGUGCCACCCGCCCUUGCCCCGUCAGCCUCAGCCUCAGCUCAUUCUCUCAGGCAGUCCCAGCAUUGGCACGGUACCUCCUCCCGCUGUGGGCCACACGUCUCUGCUCCCUGUCAACCCUCCUGCCAUCAGCACCACCACCAGCGACUUGUCUGCCCGGGAGGAUGCAACACCAUCUGCCUCCACCGGCCACCUUUCAGUGUUUCCUGCUUUCCAAGUAAAGAUACCAGCAGUGCCCUCAGAGCAGACCAGCCAGAGUUUUUCUGAAGCCUCCCACAGGGUGCUCCCCGGAGGAGGCCCGAGAUGCUCUCGUGACUUUGGAGCCGGGGUGGCUGGCCACCUUGGCCUGGGCAUCUUUGGGGUGGGCUUCGGGAGCCCGGCACUGCUGCAGAGUGUGGUGGAUGAGAACAGCUGCUGCUUGCUGUACGUGGUGGAGGACCAGCUGUGUGAUGUGGAGCAAGCCUUCAGAGCUGAGCAUUUGGGCCAACACCAGAGUGGUUCGGGAACAGGAUGCAGACAUUGUCCUCAACGACCAGCGGCACUUUGAUCCGGUUUUCCAGUUCUUGCACAAGCAAGUUUGUGUCAGCCACGCCCUGGGGAGGAUCCACUGGAUCACCGCCGUCACUGCCUGUUCCCGGCGGCCUCUCCGGCUUCCCUAAAGAGAGCAGAACCCUCCAAUGCUUCUCGCCAGUAGCUUCCCUCGAGACCAGAAGCCAGAGCUCACCCUCCCUUGUGUCCAGGUGGGACUUUCUACAACGCUGCUGUGCACGACGUGGAUGCCGUAUGCAUGUUGCUGGGGGAAGCCACUCCGGACACUGUGUUUUCUCUGGGACAUGUCUUCUGCCCAGAUAUGGCCGCCUUAAAAGAUGCAGAUGCUGUUGUGAUCAGCAUGAAGUUUCCCUGUGAGGCCGUGGUUAGCGUGGACAUCAGCCAGCACUGCACAGACAGCUGCGACCAGGACGUCAGCCAGCACUGCACAGACAGCUGCGACCAGAGACUGGAGGUGACCCUUGCCCUUUUCCACCCUUCGCCAGUCCACUGUGAAAAGCUGGGUUGAUUGUGCGGGUUAGAUAGAGGUCAUCAGCCGGGUUGAUUGUGUGGGUUAGACAGAGGUCAUCAGCUGGGUUGAUUCUGCGGGUUAGAUAGAGGUCAUCAGCUGGGUUGAUUGUGUGGGUUAGAUAGAGAUCAUCAGCUGGGUUGAUUGUGUGGGUUAGAUAGAGGUCAUCAGCUGGGUUGAUUGUGUGGGUUAGAUAGAGGUCAUCAGCUGGGUUGAUUGUGUGGGUUAGAUAGAGGUCAUCAGCUGGGUUGAUUGUGUGGGUUAGAUAGAGGUCAUCAGCUGGGUUGAUUGUAUGGGUUAGAUAGAGGUCAUCAGCUGGGUUGAUUGUACGGGUUAGAUAGAGGUCGUCAGCCGGGUUGAUUCCGCAGGUUAGAUAGAGGUCGUUAGCUGGGUGUGUGGGUCCCAAGGCGUGCUGCAGAUGGAGAAUCAGAAUUCCUUGGGCAUCACCGGGCGGGGCAUGUCCCUGUCCCUUCGCUCCCAGACCCAGGCUAGCCGCUACCAGGACUCCUAUCGAGAGCUCUUCAGACACUUUGUCAGAACCCUUAAAGGUGGGUGACGUUUUCAGGAGGAACCUGGGAUGUCCUGAUGCUCAAUGGGUAGAUGCCUUCCAGGCUGCAGUCAGUGCAGAUGAUAUGCCAAUUUCAGGUGGAAAAUUGCAUUCCAGAUACCGGGUUCAGAUUUGAAAUUGUCCAUCUCAGUGAUCAUUUACGUUGCGUGUACUUGAGGGAGAUUCUGAGAGAUGCUCCUUUGGGGUUCUGUGCGUGUACCAUGUUGCCUGACACGUCCUGAGAAAUCUUCUUAAACUCUGAGUUUAUAAAAUAACUACUUCUGAACUCCUGAGAUCUAGUGGAUACCAUGUAUCCUGGAAGAUAGGACACUUUCUACCCUCUGUCAGUCCUGGGGGUGACUGGGAACCAGAGAGGUUGAGCAGAAUUCCUGGACCUGGGUGGGGCUUGUCCAAGAGGGGCAGGUGGGCCUCUCUAGGAUCAGUGUCCCACCCAGAGGCCAGUGGCCCCUUCACAUGCCCCAACAAGAGGAAGACUGUCUGGCUCCGCAGUGUUGGGUUUUGUCCUGAAUCUGUGCAAAUGUGCAGGGAAAUAACCUCCUGAAAUCACCAAAGAGCAGUUCCUCAGGGCCUUCCGGGUGACCGUGGCCGUGGAGCAGUCGUGGUGAAACCGGUCAGCUGUGGACCUGCCCUGCGAAUCGGCAGAGGCCUCCGUGGUGAAGACAGAAGCUCCGUGAACCAACUCGAGGCUGGAGCCAAGAUCCUGCCUGAUAUCCAGUUGCCUGUUUCACUUGUUACUGUUACUGGGAGAGGGAGACAAAACCUCAUGGCAAUCUUGUCCUCACUGGAGACUCAGAAGGGGAAGCAUUGGGAAACCAUGUAUGUUUCAUUUCUGGUUUAACCAGGCUUUUCAGGAUGGGACUUCAGACCAAGGACACAAGUUGGGCUUGCUUAGGUGUUUUGUGUUGUGCGCAGGCCUCAGAGAUGCUCUUCCGGUCAGAGUUCCCUUGGCAGGGCCUUGGAGGCCUCUGGUUGGCUCUCUCAGGAAGAGGGCAGGUCAGGGAUUGGGCGGUGUAAAUUGACUCAGAAACCUGCGGUUUCAGCUUUUCUGUGGCAAACAGGGCCGAGGGCUGGUGAAGCUGUUAAGGCUAAAUGUCGCAUGCAUGAGGCGGGCUGCAGGCCUCCUUAGGCCUUUUUUGGGGUAAUUACACCAGUAUUUAAAAACAUUUUUUUUUGUUUGUUUUGAGAUGGAGUCUUGCCCUGUCACCCAGGCUGGAGUGCAAUGGUGCGAUCUCGGCUCACUGCAACCUCCGUCUCCCAGGUUCAAGCGAUUCUUCUGCCUCAGCCUUCUGAGUAGCUGGGAUUACACGCGUGUGCCACCACGCUCGGCUAAUUUUUGUAUUUUUAGUAGAGAUGGGAUUUCACCAUGUUGGCCAGGCUGGUCUCGAACUACUGACCUCGUGAUCCACCUGCCAUGGCCUCCCAAAGUGCUGGGAUUACAGGCGUGAGCCACCAUGCUCGGCCUAAAAAACAAUUUUCUUGAAGAAUCCGAUUUUGUGCAUA